CUUGGUCAUUUAGAGGAAGUAAAAGUCGUAACAAGGUUUCCGUAGGUGAACCUGCGGAAGGAUCAUUACCGUGGGGCUUCGGCCCUGUCGUGAUAGAACCCUUGCCUUUUGAGUACCGUCCGUUUCCUCGGCAGGCCCGCCUGCCAAUGGGGACCCCCAAUAAACCCUUUUAUGUACCUGUAUCAGUCUGAAAAACAAACAAAAGUUAAAACUUUCAACAACGGAUCUCUUGGUUCUGGCAUCGAUGAAGAACGCAGCGAAAUGCGAUAAGUAGUGUGAAUUGCAGAAUUCAGUGAAUCAUCGAAUCUUUGAACGCACAUUGCGCCCUUUGGUAUUCCUUAGGGCAUGCCUGUUCGAGCGUCAUUUGAAACCUCAAGCUCAGCUUGGUGUUGGGUGUCUGUCCCCGCCUCCGCGGGGACUCGCCUCAAAAUCAUUGGCGGCCGGUACGUUGGCUUCGAGCGCAGCAGAAACGCGAACUCGAGGCCCGGCGGAUCGGCGACCAGAAGUCUCUUCUUCACAGUUUGACCUCGGAUCAGGUAGGGAUACCCGCUGAACUUAAGCAUAUCAAUAAGCGGAGGA
Molecule: unclassified non-coding RNA, 579 nt
Filed under: uncultured fungus
Lineage: Eukaryota; Fungi
Description: sequence contains ITS1, 5.8S rRNA gene and ITS2
Rfam family: 5.8S ribosomal RNA (bases 210-363)
Source: RNAcentral